CGAUCACCGAAGUUAAGCAUCGUAGAGCCAGGUAAGUACUUAGAUGGGGGACCGCUUGGGAACACCUGGUACUGUAAGC
This 79-nucleotide ribosomal RNA is filed under the name Acanthosepion pharaonis. The record is from RNAcentral. Lineage: Eukaryota; Metazoa; Mollusca; Cephalopoda; Sepiida; Sepiidae.